AAAUUGCAAUACAAAAUAAAUCGCUUCCUCCAUUUGGAAGACAAUAUAUGACAUUUGCUUUCCCAAGAAACAGAAUCUUAAGUUCCACCAUUCAAGUAAUAACAGAAUUCCUCUAAACUAUGAAAGCAAAAGCAAGAUUCCAAGCCAGUUCAUCGUUAACACCAAUGAAAUUUAGAUAGGACAAACUGCAUACCUAACUACAACAAUGCCAUAUAUUCUAAAGAAAUAGAUAAUUAUUAGAAUCAGUCGUCCUUGUCAAGUGAAAAAAUGACUCCGGUGACAAUAACAAUGAUGGACAACGACAACGGCAGCUAAAAUAGUUGUAAGAAACCCUUGAAUUACAACGCAUAAAUGCGCUUCUAAAUAUUUUGUACACAGUAAAUCCAGGAAUUUGAUGUUUUUGUAUAUUAAUUGCACAUAGCCUGGUAAAUUAAUAUCAGGACUAUCACGCAUACAAAGAACAAGACGAACUCGAUAAUACUAGAUUAGAAUUACAUGAAUUCGAAGCCAAAACAAAAUUAAGUUAGUACCUAUUCCACGGCUAGCUCCAGU
RNAcentral lists this unclassified non-coding RNA (552 nucleotides) under Hevea brasiliensis (rubber tree). The record is from RNAcentral. Lineage: Eukaryota; Viridiplantae; Streptophyta; Magnoliopsida; Malpighiales; Euphorbiaceae.